GAUGAAGAACGUAGCGAAAUGCGAUAAGUAAUGCGAAUUGCAGAUUUCAGUGAGUCAUCGAAUCUUUGAACGCACAUUGCGCCCGCCAGUAUUCUGGCGGGCAUGCCUGUUCGAGCGUCAUUUCAACCAUCAAGCCCCCGGGCUUGCGUUGGGGCCCUGCGGCUGCCGCAGGCCCCGAAAAGCAGUGGCGGGCUCGCUGUCACACCGAGCGCAGUAGCGAUUCUCGCUCCGGGCGUCGGCGGCGGGCACCGGCCGUAAAACCCCCCCACAUCCACAAGGUUGACCUCGGAUCAGGUAGGAAUACCCGCUGAACUUAAGCAUAUCAAUAAGCGGAGGA
This 337-nucleotide unclassified non-coding RNA is filed under the name soil metagenome. RNAcentral describes it as "partial contains 5.8S ribosomal RNA, internal transcribed spacer 2, and large subunit ribosomal RNA". The stretch from base 1 to 120 matches the Rfam family "5.8S ribosomal RNA", at positions 35 to 154 of the family's 154-position model. The record is from RNAcentral.